RNAcentral lists this ribosomal RNA (445 nucleotides) under uncultured bacterium. RNAcentral's name for it is "bacterial SSU rRNA". It matches the Rfam family "Bacterial small subunit ribosomal RNA", at positions 8 to 443 of the family's 1533-position model. The record is from RNAcentral.
AGAGUUUGAUCCUGGCUCAGAGCGAACGCUGGCGGCGUGCUUAACACAUGCAAGUCGAACGCGCAGCAGUUUGUAGCAAUACAGAUUGUGGGCGCGUGGCGAACGGGUGCGUAACACGUGGAUAACCUUCCUUCAGGUGGGGAAUAACCCAGUGAAAAUUGGGCUAAUACCGCAUAACAUGACGAUGGCUCAUGCCGUUGUCUUCAAAGGCGCAAGUCGCCAGAAGAGGGAUCCGCGGCCGAUUAGCUAGUUGGCGAGGUAAUGGCUCACCAAGGCUUUGAUCGGUAGCCGGACUGAGAGGUUGGCCGGCCACACUGGAACUGAGACACGGUCCAGACUCCUACGGGAGGCAGCAGUGGGGAAUCUUGCACAAUGGACGAAAGUCUGAUGCAGCAACGCCGCGUGGGGGAGGAAGCUUUUCGGAGUGUAAACCCCUUUCGACCCG